GUCGGGGGUCACAAACACGCAGCAGGAGGAAGACAAGAAGCCCAACGACCAGUCGGCGCAUAUCAACCUGAAGGUCAAAGGCCAGGACGGAAAUGAGGUGUUCUUCAGGAUUAAAAGGAGCACUCAGCUGAAGAAACUAAUGAAUGCUUACUGUGAUCGACAAUCUGUGGAUCUGAACUCCAUUGCUUUUCUAUUCGACGGACGUCGUCUUCGAGCAGAGCAAACCCCCG
RNAcentral lists this unclassified non-coding RNA (230 nucleotides) under Hevea brasiliensis (rubber tree). Lineage: Eukaryota; Viridiplantae; Streptophyta; Magnoliopsida; Malpighiales; Euphorbiaceae. The record is from RNAcentral.